ACUGAACUAGUUACAUAUGGUUUGCAUCAAUAGCUUCUUGCAUCUGCUCAUGUAUAACAGAGACAAUAACAUUCAUAUCUGCUUUUCUCACCAGUAUGUUCUCUAAAUACUUCUAUCAAAAUUAUGAACUUGCAAGAACUUUCCUGCAGAAACAAAGGAUUGCAGCGAAUGGAAUCAGUAGCUGGAGAAACUGGAUCAUAGUCUUCUGUCUGCAGUGGCUCCUGGCAAAGACCUUUCUUUUAAAUCCCUGAGGCGAUCAAAGUUUCUUCCAGGUUGGAAGUGACUU
This 286-nucleotide long non-coding RNA is filed under the name Pogona vitticeps (central bearded dragon). Its description in RNAcentral is "lncRNA (ENSPVIG00000015209.1)". The record is from RNAcentral. Lineage: Eukaryota; Metazoa; Chordata; Lepidosauria; Squamata; Agamidae.